CCUACGGGAGGCAGCAGUGGGGAAUAUUGCACAAUGGGCGAAAGCCUGAUGCAGCGACGCCGCGUGAGGGAUGACGGCCUUCGGGUUGUAAACCUCUUUCAGCAGGGAAGAAGCGCAAGUGACGGUACCUGCAGAAGAAGCACCGGCUAACUACGUGCCAGCAGCCGCGGUAAUACGUAGGGUGCGAGCGUUGUCCGGAAUUAUUGGGCGUAAAGAGCUCGUAGGCGGUCUGUCACGUCGGAUGUGAAAGCCCGGGGCUUAACCCCGGGCCUGCAUUCGAUACGGGCAGACUAGAGUGUGGUAGGGGAGAUCGGAAUUCCUGGUGUAGCGGUGAAAUGCGCAGAUAUCAGGAGGAACACCGGUGGCGAAGGCGGAUCUCUGGGCCAUUACUGACGCUGAGGAGCGAAAGCGUGGGGAGCGAACAGGGAUUAGAUACCCGUGGUAGUCCACGCCGUAAACGUUGGGAACUAGGUGUUGGCGACAUUCCACGUCGUCGGUGCCGCAGCUAACGCAUUAAGUUCCCCGCCUGGGGAGCGCGNGAGCAAACNCAANAGAGUGAGNGUGAGAGNGCGACGCGACGACGAGGGAGAG
Molecule: ribosomal RNA, 591 nt
Filed under: uncultured bacterium
Lineage: Bacteria
Description: bacterial SSU rRNA
Rfam family: Bacterial small subunit ribosomal RNA (bases 1-527)
Source: RNAcentral